Long non-coding RNA from Helianthus annuus (common sunflower), 1938 nucleotides. RefSeq lists it as uncharacterized. The transcript is spliced from 8 exons. NCBI's taxonomy places the organism in Eukaryota, Viridiplantae, Streptophyta, Magnoliopsida, Asterales, Asteraceae. The record is from RefSeq and is a predicted model, not a curated record.
AAACACACCGCCCUUCCCCAUUCUUCAAAAACCCACCGCACCGGGGAGAGAGAGAGAGAGAGCGUACCACACGGGCGAGAGAGAGCAUGAACGGACAAGAUCUGGUGGACUCUGAUGAGGACAAUGAUGGUGGAUUCGAGGUAACAGUGAGGGUUUACAAGCAAGAGGAACACCGGCCACCUGAUCUAGGGUUCCUGGAAGGGUUGGUUGUCUGGCAAGGGUUCCAGCAACUCCGACGAAGGGUUUAUUGGGUAUAGAAGUGUGAGACCUGGACGACAGUGGCGAAGGGGAGUUGGUUCAACACGGCAACUGCCAACGGGGAUUAGCGUUUUGACGACCCUGUUGGUACUCCGACAAGCACCCCCAUGCUUGAAUGCCACUUUUUCAGUUAAAACAGAGACAACCAUGGUUAGAUACACACCUCCGGUGAGCUUGGGUUACAAGUUCAGGCGAUUGUCAAUCCUCCGAUGAAGCGCGGGCGAAGUUCAGGUCAGCCCUUUUUACCCACAUGUUCUAUUUGAGGUUAAAGAAAUGUGAUGAGGUUCAGUUCGGCAUCCGAAGGUAUUAACGCAUAACCCGACAACUUAGUAAAAAAAAAUUCCCCUAUAAAUUUCGUGUGUGACAUAAGUAACCAACUUGGCAAAUUAUUUAUCAGCGAGGCUUUUAUUGUAAUCUGUUUCUGUUAUACCGUACACAAAUUUGAUAUUCCACAUGAGUAAUUCAUAAUUCACGUGAACAUAAAUCAUAGAAAAUUGACAUUGUCAUAUGUUUCUGAUAAACAAUCAAUCGGGCAAUCUGCAACGGUUGUUUGGCAAAGAAAUUUAGAAAGUACAAGUAUGAUGCUUAGGAUGGCUUGCUCUAACGUAUUUGAUCUGAUUUCAAAACUCAUGUGAUCCUUGACCGCUGAUCCCUUAAUCAAUCUCCUGAAUUAGACGAGACCGCUGCCAUACUCACGUUAGUGCCAUUGGCUUUCACCCUCGCUUAACAACCGUAUAACAGUCGUUAUUGGGGGAAACGAUGAUGGAGUUCUGGUGAUUGGUUGUGAUUGUACCUGCUGAAAUAAGUGGUGGUUACUUGGUGAUUAAAGAUGGUGAAAGCAAGUUAAACAUCGGGUCAAAGCCGGAUUCAACAUGGUCAAACAUCUUCAAAAUCAGUCAACGCUAAUCACUCCCGAAAGAGGGUUGAAGCAGAGCGAAAAACGACACUGCUUUCACUCGAUGGAUGUAAUAAGAAUGUCGUUGUGGCGUUAAUUAGCAUGCAUGAUUACGGUUUUGAGGCCAAAAUUAAAUUGAAUCUAGAGACAAUUUGUGUGGAAACACCUAAAGAAUCUGUUGCUAAAACUCCUGUAGAGAGAAAGAAACAGUAAAAGCAAAAGAACCAUCUGCAAAGAAGUCAAAGAAAGAAAGGGAUCCAAGUAAACCUAAAAGGCCACCAACUGCAUUCUUUUUUUCAUGGAGGACAUUAGGAAAACAUUUAAGGAAGCAAAUCUAGACAAUAAGAAAGUUGCAUUGGUUGCUAAGGAGGGUGGUGGAAAAAUGGAAGUCAAUAACUGAUGAAAAAUCUUAUGUUGAAAGGGCCACUGAACUUAAAGAGAAAUACCAAAAGGCAUUGGAGAAUCCAAAUGGUGCUGACAUUGAAGAUGGUAAGGUUGUGAGUAGUGGCGAAGCUUGACCAUGAAAACGAGGGGGUCGAAAACGUAUAUCCCCAAAAAUUUCUAUAGAACCGGGGGUUCGAAAACGUAUAUACCCAAAAAUUUCUAUACGAAAACUACAUGUAUAACACUACUGAGCGAAAAGUUCGGGGGGUCGGGCGCCCCUCCCGGCCCCUCUUAAGCUACGCCUUUGGCUGUGAGUAUUUCUUGAUUUUGUGCUUUUUUGUAUACAUGAUUUGUUGUGAUCACAUGACUAACUUGAUGACUAACUUGAAAUGGGCAUGUUU